Molecule: transfer RNA, 84 nt
Filed under: Neofusicoccum parvum UCRNP2
Lineage: Eukaryota; Fungi; Ascomycota; Dothideomycetes; Botryosphaeriales; Botryosphaeriaceae
Rfam family: tRNA
About the family: Transfer RNA (tRNA) molecules are approximately 80 nucleotides in length. Their secondary structure includes four short double-helical elements and three loops (D, anti-codon, and T loops).
Source: Rfam by way of RNAcentral
GCCCGCAUGGCUUAGUGGUACAGCGUCGCACUCGUAACAAAAACGGUAAUGCGAAGAUCCCUGGUUCGAUUCCGGGUGUGGGCA